ACGGAGGUGCUUGGAGGCACGGAGGUGCUUGGAGGCACGGAGGUGCUUGGAGGCACAGGAUGCUUGUAGGCACAGGAUGCUUGGAAGCACAGGAUGCUUGCAGGGACGAGGGAGCUCUGGAUCAUAGCUUCCACAGGAGAAACGAAGAUACUCAGGCAUCGGAUCUCUGCCUGGUAUCUGAUUUUAAAUUCCCCGCCCUAGCCUGAUUGGCGGAGCAGGCAGGUGACGUCAGACCUGCUCCGCCUCCUUGCCCUCGCUUGUGAUGGCGGCGUCCUUGCUUCCGGGAAGCCGCCGGAGAGCAGCGCCGACCCGCCGCUGAAGCCGGAGACUGACAGGGGAAGAGAGGCGCCGGGCAGACCAGGCCACCCGCAGGGACAAGCGCGGUCGCCGCUGCCCGAGGUUCGU
Molecule: long non-coding RNA, 405 nt
Organism: Pseudophryne corroboree (corroboree frog)
Lineage: Eukaryota; Metazoa; Chordata; Amphibia; Anura; Myobatrachidae
Exons: 3
Source: RefSeq, a predicted model, not a curated record